This 279-nucleotide unclassified non-coding RNA is filed under the name Hevea brasiliensis (rubber tree). Lineage: Eukaryota; Viridiplantae; Streptophyta; Magnoliopsida; Malpighiales; Euphorbiaceae. The record is from RNAcentral.
AUGUGCUUCAACAAUGUGUUCCUAGGUUGCAAUUCAAGACUCAAUCAAUAUAUAUGGCAAUAUCUAACAAAGCAUUUAUCAUACAAUAUACAACCAAUUUCUCAAGUCACUCAAUAUGUCCACAAAUUUAUCAACUCAAUCUAUUUAACCAACAUUCACUAUCAUGUAUAUGAGAAAAGAAAUUUAAAUUGCAUAAAAGUAAAGAGGUAAAGGUUAGAGAAAUCAAACACAAGGAUUUUAUAGUGGUUCGGCUUAGCUAGCCUACAUCCACUCUCUCAA